RNAcentral lists this unclassified non-coding RNA (200 nucleotides) under soil metagenome. Its description in RNAcentral is "partial contains internal transcribed spacer 2 and large subunit ribosomal RNA". The record is from RNAcentral.
AGCGGUCGGCUCCUCUCAAAUGAAUCAGCUUGCCAGUGUUUGGCGGCGCCACAGGUGUGAUAACUAUCUACGCUUGUGGUUUCCCGCCAGGUUUCCUUCAGUGAUGGAGGUUCGCUGGAGCUCAUAAAUGUCCCUCCCCAGUGAGGACAACUUCAUGAAUGUUUGAUCUCAAAUCAGGUAGGACUACCCGCUGAACUUAA